Long non-coding RNA from Siniperca chuatsi (mandarin fish), 624 nucleotides. RefSeq lists it as uncharacterized. Lineage: Eukaryota; Metazoa; Chordata; Actinopteri; Centrarchiformes; Sinipercidae. The transcript has 2 exons. The record is from RefSeq and is a predicted model, not a curated record.
AGUGUCAGACGCACCUGCCAUGCCUUGCAGACCAGGGUGGCCCAUUUGUCCAACCUCUCCACGAAAUCCAGGCGUUCCUGGUCUACCACCAAUCCCAGGCAUGCCCUUCUGCCCAAUGGGUCCCAUGAAACCUGUACGGCCAACGCGCAGGACGCAUAGCCCAUGCUCGCUGACCAGAUACUGUGUGGAGCGGAGAAACCCAGACUCUUUAGUUACUGUCCUCGUUGACUUUAACAAGGAUAGUCUCAGCCAUGAACUCUCCAAAUACAGACAGUUUUAUUAAAUGUCCGACCAGAGAGGAGAAUAUUCUGGAUCACUGUUACACUACAGUAAGCGGUGCCUAUCCUGCCGUCCCCCAUGCUUGCACUGGGACACUCUGACCACGUCAUGGUCCACCUGAUUCCUGCAUACAGGCAGAAAUGAAACCUGUUGUGAAGACAUCAAAGAAGUGGACCAGUGACGCUAUGGAGGACCUUUGGGCGUACUUGGACUGUACUGACUGGGAUAUUUUCAGGACUGCUAUCAGUCUGGAUGAGUUCUGUGUUUAUUAUCAGGCAUCAAAAUACCAAUACAAAUUCCUCGUAUGUGUAAACCUACAUGGCAAUAAAGCUGAUUCUGAUGAGA